This is a small nuclear RNA of Suncus etruscus (white-toothed pygmy shrew), 107 nucleotides long. NCBI's taxonomy places the organism in Eukaryota, Metazoa, Chordata, Mammalia, Eulipotyphla, Soricidae. The record is from RefSeq and is a predicted model, not a curated record.
GUGCUCGCUUUGACAGCACAUAUACUAAAAUUGGAAUGAUACAAAGAAGAUUAGCAUGGCUCCUAUGCAAGAAUGACAUGUAAAUUCAUGAAGUAUUUCAUAUUUUU